UACGUAGGGUGCAAGCGUUAAUCGGAAUUACUGGGCGUAAAGCGUGCGCAGGCGGUUAUGCAAGACAGAUGUGAAAUCCCCGGGCUUAACCUGGGAACCGCAUUUGUGACUGCAUAGCUGGAGUACGGCAGAGGGGGAUGGAAUUCCGCGUGUAGCGGUGAAAUGCGUAGAUAUGCGGAGGAACACCGAUGGCGAAGGCAGUCCCCUGGGCCUGUACUGACGCUCAUGCACGAAAGCGUGGGGAGCAAACAGG
RNAcentral lists this ribosomal RNA (253 nucleotides) under uncultured bacterium. RNAcentral describes it as "partial 16S ribosomal RNA". It matches the Rfam family "Bacterial small subunit ribosomal RNA", at positions 524 to 776 of the family's 1533-position model. The record is from RNAcentral.